This 468-nucleotide ribosomal RNA is filed under the name uncultured bacterium. Its description in RNAcentral is "partial 16S ribosomal RNA". It matches the Rfam family "Bacterial small subunit ribosomal RNA", at positions 28 to 507 of the family's 1533-position model. The record is from RNAcentral.
GACGAACGCUGGCGGCGUGCUUAACACAUGCCAGUCGAACGGAAAGGCCCUGCUUUUGUGGGGUGCUCGAGUGGCGAACGGGUGAGUAACACGUGAGUAACCUGCCCUUGACUUUGGGAUAACUUCAGGAAACUGGGGCUAAUACCGGAUAGGAGCUCCUGCUGCAUGGUGGGGGUUGGAAAGUUUCGGCGGUUGGGGUUGGACUCGCGGCUUAUCAGCUUGUUGGUGGGGUAGUGGCUUACCAAGGCUUUGACGGGUAGCCGGCCUGGGAGGGUGACCGGCCACAUUGGGACUGAGAUACGGCCCAGACUGCUACGGGAGGCAGCGGUGGGGAAUAUUGCACAAUGGGCGGAAGCCUGAUGCAGCAACGCCGCGUGCGGGAUGACGGCCUUCGGGUUGUAAACCGCUUUCGCCUGUGACGAAGCGUGAGUGACGGUAAUGGGUAAAGAAGCACCGGCUAACUACGUG